GACGAACGCUGGCGGCGUGCUUAACACAUGCAAGUCGAACGGAAAGGCCCUGCUUUUGUGGGGUGCUCGAGUGGCGAACGGGUGAGUAACACGUGAGUAACCUGCCCUUGACUUUGGGAUAACUUCAGGAAACUGGGGCUAAUACCGGAUAGGAGCUCCUGCUGCAUGGUGGGGGUUGGAAAGUUUCGGCGGUUGGGGAUGGACUCGCGGCUUAUCAGCUUGUUGGUGGGGUAGUGGCUUACCAAGGCUUUGACGGGUAGCCGGCCUGAGAGGGUGACCGGCCACAUUGGGACUGAGAUACGGCCCAGACUCCUACGGGAGGCAGCAGUGGGGAAUAUUGCACAAUGGGCGGAAGCCUGAUGCAGCAACGCCGCGUGCGGGAUGACGGCCUUCGGGUUGUAAACCGCUUUCGCCUGUGACGAAGCGUGAGUGACGGUAAUGGGUAAAGAAGCACCGGCUAACUACGUGCCAGCAGCCGCGGUGAUACGUAGGGUGCGAGCGUUGUCCGGAUUUAUUGGGCGUAAAGGGCUCGUAGGUGGUUGAUCGCGUCGGAAGUGUAAUCUUGGGGCUUAACCCUGAGCGUGCCUUCGAUACGGGUUGACUUGAGGAAGGUAGGGGAGAAUGGAAUUCCUGGUGGAGCGGUGGAAUGCGCAGAUAUCAGGAGGAACACCAGUGGCGAAGGCGGUUCUCUGGGCCUUUCCUGACGCUGAGGAGCGAAAGCGUGGGGAGCGAACAGGCUUAGAUACCCUGGUAGUCCACGCUGUAAACGGUGGGUACUAGGUGUGGGGUCCAUUCCACGGGUUCCGUGCCGUAGCUAACGCUUUAAGUACCCCGCCUGGGGAGUACGGCCGCAAGGCUAAAACUCAAAGGAAUUGACGGGGCCCCGCACAAGCGGCGGAGCAUGCGGAUUAAUUCGAUGCAACGCGUAGAACCUUACCUGGGUUUGACAUGGAUCGGGAGUGCUCAGAGAUGGGUGUGCCUCUUUUGGGGUCGGUUCACAGGUGGUGCAUGCCUGUCGUCAGCUCGUGUCGUGAGAUGUUGGGUUAAGUCCCGCAACGAGCGCAACCCUUGUUCACUGUUGCCAGCACGUUAUGGUGGGGACUCAGUGGAGACCGCCGGGGUCAACUCGGAGGAAGGUGGGGAUGACGUCAAGUCCUCAUGCCCCUUAUGUCCAGGGCUUCACGCAUGCUACAAUGGCUGGUACAGAGAGUGGCGAGCCUGUGAGGGUGAGCGAAUCUCGGAAAGCCGGUCUCAGUUCGGAUUGGGGUCUGCAACUCGACCUCAUGAAGUCGGAGUCGCUAGUAAUCGCAGAUCAGCAACGCUGCGGUGAAUACGUUCCCGGG
RNAcentral lists this ribosomal RNA (1343 nucleotides) under uncultured bacterium. RNAcentral describes it as "16S ribosomal RNA". It matches the Rfam family "Bacterial small subunit ribosomal RNA", at positions 28 to 1378 of the family's 1533-position model. The record is from RNAcentral.